UACGGGGGGGGCAAGCGUUGUUCGGAAUUACUGGGCGUAAAGGGCUCGUAGGUGGCCAACUAAGUCAGACGUGAAAUCCCUCAGCUUAACUGGGGAACUGCGUCUGAUACUGGAUGGCUUGAGUUUGGGAGAGGGAUGCGGAAUUCCAGGUGUAGCGGUGAAAUGCGUAGAUAUCUGGAGGAACACCGGUGGCGAAGGCGGCAUCCUGGACCAGCACUGACACUGAGGAGCGAAAGCCAGGGGAGCAAACGGG
This 253-nucleotide ribosomal RNA is filed under the name uncultured bacterium. RNAcentral's name for it is "partial 16S ribosomal RNA". It matches the Rfam family "Bacterial small subunit ribosomal RNA", at positions 524 to 776 of the family's 1533-position model. The record is from RNAcentral.